Molecule: transfer RNA, 87 nt
Filed under: Burkholderiaceae bacterium
Lineage: Bacteria; Pseudomonadati; Pseudomonadota; Betaproteobacteria; Burkholderiales; Burkholderiaceae
Description: tRNA-Leu
Rfam family: tRNA
About the family: Transfer RNA (tRNA) molecules are approximately 80 nucleotides in length. Their secondary structure includes four short double-helical elements and three loops (D, anti-codon, and T loops).
Source: RNAcentral
GCCGGGAUGGCGGAACAGGUAGACGCGCGGGACUCAAAAUCCCGUUCCCUUACAGGAGUUCCGGUUCGAUUCCGGAUCCCGGCACCA